RNAcentral lists this transfer RNA (75 nucleotides) under Candidatus Pacearchaeota archaeon. RNAcentral describes it as "tRNA-Glu". It matches the Rfam family "tRNA". From Rfam's summary of the family: Transfer RNA (tRNA) molecules are approximately 80 nucleotides in length. Their secondary structure includes four short double-helical elements and three loops (D, anti-codon, and T loops). The record is from RNAcentral. Lineage: Archaea; Nanobdellati.
GUCCCUGUCGUCUAAAGGUUAGGACACCAGCCUUUCAAGCUGGUAAUCGGGGUUCAAUUCCCCGCAGGGAUACCA